This 440-nucleotide ribosomal RNA is filed under the name uncultured bacterium. Its description in RNAcentral is "partial 16S ribosomal RNA". It matches the Rfam family "Bacterial small subunit ribosomal RNA", at positions 338 to 795 of the family's 1533-position model. The record is from RNAcentral.
CCUACGGGAGGCAGCAGUGGGGAAUAUUGCACAAUGGGGGAAACCCUGAUGCAGCGACGCCGCGUGAGUGAAGAAGGAUUUCGGUAUGUAAAGCUCGAGCAGCAGGGAAGAAAAGGACGGUACCUGAUCAAGAAGCCCCGGCUAACUACGGGCCAGCAGCCGCGGGAAUACGUAGGGGGCAAGCGUUCUCCGGAUUUACUGGGUGUAAAGGGAGUGUAGACGGUGCUGGCAGUCAGAAGUGAAAGCCCGGGGCUCAACUCCGGGACUGCUUUUGAAACUGUGGAACUGGAGUGCAGGAGAGGUAAGCGGAAUUCCUGGUGUAGCGGUGAAAUGCGUAGAUAUCAGGAGGAACCCCAGUGGCGAAGGCGGCUUACUGGACUGUAACUGACGUUGAGGCUCGAAAGCGUGGGGAGCAAACAGGAUUAGAUACCCCUGUAGUC